AUUGAACGCUGGCGGCAGGCCUAACACAUGCAAGUCGAGCGGAUGAAGGGAGCUUGCUCCUGGAUUCAGCGGCGGACGGGUGAGUAAUGCCUAGGAAUCUGCCUGGUAGUGGGGGAUAACGUCCGGAAACGGGCGCUAAUACCGCAUACGUCCUGAGGGAGAAAGUGGGGGAUCUUCGGACCUCACGCUCUCAGAUGAGCCUAGGUCGGAUUAGCUAGUUGGUGGGGUAAAGGCCUACCAAGGCGGCGAUCCGUAACUGGUCUGAGAGGAUGAUCAGUCACACUGGAACUGAGACACGGUCCAGACUCCUACGGGAGGCAGCAGUGGGGAAUAUUAGACAAUGGGCGAAAGCCUGAUCCAGCCAUGCCGCGUGUGUGAAGAAGGUCUUCGGAUUGUAAAGCACUUUAAGUUGGGAGGAAGGGCAGUAAGUUAAUACCUUGCUGUUUUGACGUUACCAACAGAAUAAGCACCGGCUAACUUCGUG
This 484-nucleotide ribosomal RNA is filed under the name uncultured bacterium. Its description in RNAcentral is "partial 16S ribosomal RNA". It matches the Rfam family "Bacterial small subunit ribosomal RNA", at positions 30 to 507 of the family's 1533-position model. The record is from RNAcentral.